UGGGGAAUAUUGGACAAUGGGCGCAAGCCUGAUCCAGCCAUGCCGCGUGAGUGAUGAAGGCCCUAGGGUUGUAAAGCUCUUUCACCGGUGAAGAUAAUGACGGUAACCGGAGAAGAAGCCCCGGCUAACUUCGUGCCAGCAGCCGCGGUAAUACGAAGGGGGCUAGCGUUGUUCGGAUUUACUGGGCGUAAAGCGCACGUAGGCGGACUUUUAAGUCAGGGGUGAAAUCCCGGGGCUCAACCCCGGAACUGCCUUUGAUACUGGAAGUCUUGAGUAUGGUAGAGGUGAGUGGAAUUCCGAGUGUAGAGGUGAAAUUCGUAGAUAUUCGGAGGAACACCAGUGGCGAAGGCGGCUCACUGGACCAUUACUGACGCUGAGGUGCGAAAGCGUGGGGAGCAAACAGGUUAGAUACCCUGGUAGUCCACGCCGUAAACGAUGAAUGUUAGCCGUUGGGGAGUUUACUCUUCGGUGGCGCAGCUAACGCAUUAAACAUUCCGCCUGGGGAGUACGGUCGCAAGAUUAAAACUUAAAGGAAUUGACGGGGAUCAUAGCUGUUUCC
Molecule: ribosomal RNA, 559 nt
Filed under: uncultured bacterium
Lineage: Bacteria
Description: partial 16S ribosomal RNA
Rfam family: Bacterial small subunit ribosomal RNA
Source: RNAcentral